Molecule: transfer RNA, 73 nt
Filed under: Candidatus Omnitrophota bacterium
Lineage: Bacteria; Pseudomonadati; Candidatus Omnitrophota
Description: tRNA-Lys
Rfam family: tRNA
About the family: Transfer RNA (tRNA) molecules are approximately 80 nucleotides in length. Their secondary structure includes four short double-helical elements and three loops (D, anti-codon, and T loops). Further hydrogen bonds mediate the characteristic L-shaped molecular structure. tRNAs have two regions of fundamental functional importance: the anti-codon, which is responsible for specific mRNA codon recognition, and the 3' end, to which the tRNAs corresponding amino acid is attached (by aminoacyl-tRNA synthetases). tRNAs cope with the degeneracy of the genetic code in two manners: having more than one tRNA (with a specific anti-codon) for a particular amino acid; and 'wobble' base-pairing, i.e. permitting non-standard base-pairing at the 3rd anti-codon position.
Source: RNAcentral
GGGGCGCUAGCUCAUCUGGCAGAGCAACAGCCUUUUAAGCUGUGGGUACUGGGUUCGAGACCCAGGCGCCCCA